GAAAAUUUCUUCAAAUAUUUUUUUUUUGAGAGGAUUUAUAUUCAACAGCAAGGUGAAUUGCUCAAAAGCAAAAUAAAAAAUUUAAGUUCAUUAGAACACAUUCAUUCUGUGUCAGAAACCUAUGCUGUGUCAACUAUUUAAUCACAAUCCAAAUUCAGACCUGUAUCAAGCUUGAAUAUUGUGUCCAUACUAGCCCCAACCGUUCAGGGUUCGACCUCUGCGGUUGUAUAAAGCUGCGCCCUGCGAGGCAUUUGGUUUAACUUGGCUUUUGUCAUUAUACAUACCCUGAACCAAAUGAGGGGUAUACUGUAUCACCCCUGCCUGUCUGUCUGUCAGACCAUUUUUCUGUCCCAUUAAAUUUUGGAGCAUAAGAUUUGCACCAAUUUUUACAGAAUCCAAUCUUUUACUUGCGCCAAAAACUAUUUUUGCCUUUUUUACAGGUAACAUAUAACGGAAAAGUUUAAGAUAUUGAUUGUUACAUCGUGAAUAAGAUGAUUUUGUUUAAGUAUUCCCCC
This 515-nucleotide long non-coding RNA is filed under the name Mytilus galloprovincialis (Mediterranean mussel). Lineage: Eukaryota; Metazoa; Mollusca; Bivalvia; Mytilida; Mytilidae. The record is from RNAcentral.